This 1024-nucleotide ribosomal RNA is filed under the name Acrogenospora carmichaeliana. RNAcentral describes it as "SSU rRNA". It matches the Rfam family "Eukaryotic small subunit ribosomal RNA", at positions 84 to 1117 of the family's 1831-position model. Lineage: Eukaryota; Fungi; Ascomycota; Dothideomycetes; Minutisphaerales; Acrogenosporaceae. The record is from RNAcentral.
AAACUGCGAAUGGCUCAUUAAAUCAGUUAUCGUUUAUUUGAUAGUACCUUACUACUUGGAUAACCGUGGUAAUUCUAGAGCUAAUACAUGCUAAAAACCCCGACUCCGGGAGGGGUGUAUUUAUUAGAUAAAAAACCAACGCCCUUCGGGGCUCCUUGGUGAUUCAUAAUAACUAAACGAAUCGCAUGGCCUUGCGCCGGCGAUGGUUCAUUCAAAUUUCUGCCCUAUCAACUUUCGAUGGUAGGAUAGUGGCCUACCAUGGUAUCAACGGGUAACGGGGAAUUAGGGUUCUAUUCCGGAGAGGGAGCCUGAGAAACGGCUACCACAUCCAAGGAAGGCAGCAGGCGCGCAAAUUACCCAAUCCCGACACGGGGAGGUAGUGACAAUAAAUACUGAUACAGGGCUCUUACGGGUCUUGUAAUUGGAAUGAGUACAAUUUAAAUCCCUUAACGAGGAACAAUUGGAGGGCAAGUCUGGUGCCAGCAGCCGCGGUAAUUCCAGCUCCAAUAGCGUAUAUUAAAGUUGUUGCAGUUAAAAAGCUCGUAGUUGAACCUUGGGCCUGGCUGGCCGGUCCGCCUCACCGCGUGCACUGGUCCGGCCGGGCCUUUCCUUCUGGGGAUCCGCAUGUCCUUUACUGGGUGUGUCGGGGAACCAGGACUUUUACUUUGAAAAAAUUAGAGUGUUCAAAGCAGGCCUUUGCUCGAAUACAUUAGCAUGGAAUAAUAGAAUAGGACGUGCGGUUCUAUUUUGUUGGUUUCUAGGACCGCCGUAAUGAUUAAUAGGGAUAGUCGGGGGCAUCAGUAUUCAAUUGUCAGAGGUGAAAUUCUUGGAUUUAUUGAAGACUAACUACUGCGAAAGCAUUUGCCAAGGAUGUUUUCAUUAAUCAGUGAACGAAAGUUAGGGGAUCGAAGACGAUCAGAUACCGUCGUAGUCUUAACCAUAAACUAUGCCGACUAGGGAUCGGGCGAUGUUACUAUUCUGACUCGCUCGGCACCUUACGAGAAAUCAAAGUCUUUGGGUCUGG